AUUGUACAAUGUUCAAAUAUUUAUAGGAUUAAGAUGGGCAUGCGUGUCAUUAGCUAGUUGGCGGGGUAACGGCCCACCAAGGCGACGAUGACUAGGGGAUCUGAGAGGAUGACCCCCCACACUGGUACUGAGACACGGACCAGACUCCUACGGGAGGCAGCAGUAAGGAAUAUUGGUCAAUGGAGGCAACUCUGAACCAGCCAUGCCGCGUGCAGGAAGACAGCCCUCUGGGUCGUAAACUGCUUUUAUUCGGGAAUAAACCACAUUACGUGUAAUGUGCUGAAUGUACCGAAGGAAUAAGGAUCGGCUAACUCCGUGCCAGCAGCCGCGGUAAUACGGAGGAUCCAAGCGUUAUCCGGAUUUAUUGGGUUUAAAGGGUGCGUAGGCGGCUUAUUAAGUCAGGGGUGAAAGACGGUGGCUCAACCAUCGCAGUGCCUUUGAUACUGAUGAGCUUGAAUACACUAGAGGUAGGCGGAAUGUGACAAGUAGCGGUGAAGUGCAUAGAUAUGUCACAGAACACCGAUUGCGAAGGCAGCUUACUAUGGUGUGAUUGACGCUGAGGCACGAAAGCGUGGGGAUCAAACAGGAUUAGAUACCCUGGUAGUCCACGCCCUAAACGAUGAAUACUCGCUGUUAGCGAUAUACAGUUAGCGGCUAAGCGAAAGCGUUAAGUAUUCCACCUGGGGAGUACGCCCGCAAGGGUGAAACUCAAAGGAAUUGACGGGGGCCCGCACAAGCGGAGGAGCAUGUGGUUUAAUUCGAUGAUACGCGAGGAACCUUACCCGGGCUUGAAAGUUAGUGAAUCAUUUAGAGAUAGAUGAGUCCGCAAGGACACGAAACUAGGUGCUGCAUGGCUGUCGUCAGCUCGUGCCGUGAGGUGUUGGGUUAAGUCCCGCAACGAGCGCAACCCCUAUGUUUAGUUGCCAACACGUUAUGGUGGGGACUCUAAACAGACUGCCUGUGCAAACAGAGAGGAAGGAGGGGACGACGUCAAGUCAUCAUGGCCCUUACGUCCGGGGCUACACACGUGCUACAAUGGAUGGUACAGAGGGCAGCAAGCUGGCAACAGCAAGCGAAUCUCAAAAAGCCAUUCACAGUUCGGAUAGAGGUCUGCAACUCGACCUCUUGAAGUUGGAUUCGCUAGUAAUCGCGUAUCAGCAAUGACGCGGUGAAUACGUUCCCGGGCCUUGUACACACCGCCCGUCAAGCCAUGGAAGUUGGGGGUACCUAAAGUAUGUAACCGCAAGGAGCGUCCUAGGGUAAAACCGAUAACUGGGGCUAAGUCGUAACAAGGUA
RNAcentral lists this ribosomal RNA (1296 nucleotides) under metagenome. RNAcentral's name for it is "bacterial SSU rRNA". It matches the Rfam family "Bacterial small subunit ribosomal RNA", at positions 189 to 1498 of the family's 1533-position model. The record is from RNAcentral.